This 468-nucleotide ribosomal RNA is filed under the name uncultured bacterium. RNAcentral describes it as "partial 16S ribosomal RNA". It matches the Rfam family "Bacterial small subunit ribosomal RNA", at positions 28 to 507 of the family's 1533-position model. The record is from RNAcentral.
GACGAACGUUGGCGGCGUGCUUAACACAUGCAAGUCGAACGGAAAGGCCCUGCUUUUGGGGGGUGCUCGAGUGGCGAACGGGUGAGUAACACGUGAGUAACCUGCCCUUGACUUUGGGAUAACUUCAGGAAACUGGGGCUAAUACCGGAUAGGAGCUCCUGCUGCAGGGGGGGGGUGGGAAAGUUUCGGCGGUUGGGGAUGGACUCGCGGCUUAUCAGCUUGUUGGUGGGGUAGUGGCUUACCAAGGCUUUGACGGGUAGCCGGCCUGAGAGGGUGACCGGCCACAUUGGGACUGAGAUACGGCCCAGACUCCUACGGGAGGCAGCAGUGGGGAAUAUUGCACAAUGGGCGGAAGCCUGAUGCAGCAACGCCGCGUGCGGGAUGACGGCCUUCGGGUUGUAAACCGCUUUCGCCUGUGACGAAGCGUGAGUGACGGUAAUGGGUAAAGAAGCACCGGCUAACUACGUG